GAGUUUGAUCCUGGCUCAGGACGAACGCUGGCGGCGUGCUUAACACAUGCAAGUCGAACGGAGCGCCCUUGAAUGAGGUUUCGGCCAAAUGAAAGGAAUGCUUAGUGGCGGACUGGUGAGUAACGCGUGAGGAACCUGCCUUUCAGAGGGGGGCAACAGCUGGAAACGGCUGCUAAUACCGCAUGACGCAUUCGGAUGGCAUCAUCUGAAUGCCAAAGAUUUAUCGCUGAAAGAUGGCCUCGCGUCUGAUUAGAUAGUUGGCGGGGUAACGGCCCACCAAGUCGACGAUCAGUAGCCGGACUGAGAGGUUGACCGGCCACAUUGGGACUGAGAUACGGCCCAGACUCCUACGGGAGGCAGCAGUGGGGAAUAUUGGGCAAUGGGCGCAAGCCUGACCCAGCAACGCCGCGUGAAGGAAGAAGGCUUUCGGGUUGUAAACUUCUUUUAAGAGGGAAGAGCAGAAGACGGUACCUCUUGAAUAAGCCACGGCUAACUACGUGCCAGCAGCCGCGGUAAUAC
This 519-nucleotide ribosomal RNA is filed under the name uncultured bacterium. Its description in RNAcentral is "bacterial SSU rRNA". It matches the Rfam family "Bacterial small subunit ribosomal RNA", at positions 9 to 526 of the family's 1533-position model. The record is from RNAcentral.